UACAGAGGGUGCAAGCGUUAAUCGGAAUUACUGGGCGUAAAGCGUGCGUAGACGGUUAUGUAAGUCAGGUGUGAAAGCCCAGGGCUCAACCUUGGAAUUGCAUUUGAGACUGCAUAGCUAGGGUGCGGAAGAGGGAAGCGGAAUUUCCGGUGUAGCGGUGAAAUGCGUAGAUAUCGGAAGGAACACCAGUGGCGAAAGCGGCUUCCUGGGCCAGCACCGACGUUCAGGCACGAAAGCGUGGGGAGCAAACAGG
This 253-nucleotide ribosomal RNA is filed under the name uncultured bacterium. RNAcentral's name for it is "partial 16S ribosomal RNA". It matches the Rfam family "Bacterial small subunit ribosomal RNA", at positions 524 to 776 of the family's 1533-position model. The record is from RNAcentral.